GCCUUGUUAGCUCAGUUGGUUAGAGCGUCGUGCUAAUAACGCGAAGGUCACAGGUUCGAGACCUGUACAGGGCA
Molecule: transfer RNA, 74 nt
Filed under: Physcomitrium patens
Lineage: Eukaryota; Viridiplantae; Streptophyta; Bryopsida; Funariales; Funariaceae
Description: tRNA-Ile (AAT) (tRNA-Ile-AAT-1-1)
Rfam family: tRNA
About the family: Transfer RNA (tRNA) molecules are approximately 80 nucleotides in length. Their secondary structure includes four short double-helical elements and three loops (D, anti-codon, and T loops).
Source: Rfam by way of RNAcentral